UACGUAGGGUGCGAGCGUUGCCCGGAUUUAUUGGGCGUAAAGGGCGCGUAGGCGGCCACGCACGUCCGUUGUGAAAUCGCCCGGCUCAACUGGGCGGGGUCAGCGGAUACGGCGCGGCUGGAGCAAGCUAGGGGGCAAUGGAAUUCCCGGUGUAGUGGUGGAAUGCGUAGAUAUCGGGAGGAACACCAGUGGCGAAGGCGGUUGCCUGGAGCUUUGCUGACGCUGAUGCGCGAAAGCGUGGGGAGCGAUCUGG
RNAcentral lists this ribosomal RNA (253 nucleotides) under uncultured bacterium. Its description in RNAcentral is "partial 16S ribosomal RNA". It matches the Rfam family "Bacterial small subunit ribosomal RNA", at positions 524 to 776 of the family's 1533-position model. The record is from RNAcentral.